This 253-nucleotide ribosomal RNA is filed under the name uncultured bacterium. RNAcentral's name for it is "partial 16S ribosomal RNA". It matches the Rfam family "Bacterial small subunit ribosomal RNA", at positions 524 to 776 of the family's 1533-position model. The record is from RNAcentral.
UACGUAGGUGGCGAGCGUUGUCCGGAUUUACUGGGCGUAAAGAGCGCGCAGGCGGUCGUUCAAGUCGCGUGUGAAAGCCCCCGGCUCAACUGGGGAGGGUCACGCGAUACUGAUCGACUCGAAGGCAGGAGAGGGAAGUGGAAUUCCCGGUGUAGCGGUGAAAUGCGUAGAUAUCGGGAGGAAUACCUAUGGCGAAAGCAGGCUACUGGACCGUCACUGACUCUGAUCUGCGAAAGCUAGGGGAGCAAACAGG